Molecule: ribosomal RNA, 159 nt
Filed under: uncultured bacterium
Lineage: Bacteria
Description: partial 16S ribosomal RNA
Rfam family: Bacterial small subunit ribosomal RNA
Source: RNAcentral
UAGGGAAUCUUGCGCAAUGGGCGAAAGCCUGACGCAGCGACGCCGCGUGAGCGAUGAAGGCCUUCGGGUUGUAAAGCUCUGUGGGGAGGGAAGAAUAAGGUCCACCUAAUACGUGGACCGAUGACGGUACCUCCUUAGCAAGCACCGGCUAACUCUGUG